Lepisosteus oculatus (spotted gar) is the source of this 1180-nucleotide long non-coding RNA. RefSeq lists it as uncharacterized. The record is from RefSeq and is a predicted model, not a curated record. Lineage: Eukaryota; Metazoa; Chordata; Actinopteri; Semionotiformes; Lepisosteidae.
GAACCUGAGCUCUUGCUCUCUCACACACACACACCAGACCAGGCUGUCAGUGGUGUCUGUGGGGACCAAUGUCUCGAACCCGAGCUCGUGCUCACACACACUCACACCAGACCAAGCUGUCAGUGGUGUCUGUAGGGUCCAGUGUCUCGAACCCGUGCUGGAGAAUAACCAUGCGACGCUGUGCAGCUCGUCUCAUUCAUGUUUACUGCUGCGUGGUGCUCCAGCCUGCUGCAGGUGUGUGCACUGAUUGUGCCCUCGUGUCGAUGAUGUCACUGAUGUUCCCGCGGCAGCAGGAUGUUUGCAGCUGCCGCGCUGUUGCCAUGGUGACAAACACAGCUCUCAGCCUGCGCCACUUCCUGUUCCCAAGAGGAGGGGGGAGGUUUCGGGCCUCUCUCGCUCACUCACACCUGGCUCCACCUCUGCAGGUUUAUAAAGCCCUGCCGCCAGCAGCUGUCGCCAUGGCAACAAAACAGGAGUGAGGACUGCUCCCCGACUGUACCCCCGCUCUCGCAGCGCGCCAGGACGAGCCCCCCGGCGGGAGAUGCGUGGUCCUGCUCCCCGCCCGUCUCCCCGGGAGCUGGCUGUUCAAGACCAGCCCUGCACCUCUCUGCUGCUCUUAAAGAGUCUCCGAGCUUCCCUCCCUGAGUGCCGGCGUCUCUGCUUCGCUCUGCUGCCGGAUUUCUGACCCGCUUCGCCAGGACUCCCGCGCCCGGUAUCAGCCUGUGCUCGACCGCAGCUACGCCGCUGCUUCACCGCCAGGGGGCGGCCGCGGGCGCCACUGCCGACCCGGGCCCCCCCGCAAGAAACCACCACAGCUCGAACUGCUCUCCACCGCUUUAUUUCAAGAUCAGGGGUCCUUCAUGUGCAAGUCCUUCGUGCGGGAAGACAGGAGACCCGGCAGGGUUAGAAAAUAAAUAAAAGUCCUAAAGAAAUCAUCCACUUGAUCAAAUAAAUACAUGAACAAAGAUAAAAUACAACAAAAGUAGAGAUUACUGGGCUGCACUGUUUCUGGACAACUGAGAUGCUACCUGUCACCCCCUCCUCCUCCUCCUCCUCAGUGAACUCCCUCAGCUGUCCUCGUCAUGUACAGCUCUUCCCUCCGUUCUUCAUCACCACCAACACAAAACUCAACAACAACAAGAACCGCAACUAAAAAAUAAAAACUCUGUUUCACAGCUCA